Molecule: ribosomal RNA, 253 nt
Filed under: uncultured bacterium
Lineage: Bacteria
Description: partial 16S ribosomal RNA
Rfam family: Bacterial small subunit ribosomal RNA
Source: RNAcentral
UACAGAGGUCCCAAGCGUUGUUCGGAUUCACUGGGCGUAAAGGGUGCGUAGGUGGCCGGGUAAGUCUGACGUGAAAUCUCCGAGCCUAACUCGGAAACUGCGUCGGAUACUAUCCGGCUUGAGGGUUGGAGGGGGGACUGGAAUACUUGGUGUAGCAGUGAAAUGCGUAGAUAUCAGGAGGAACACCGGUGGCGAAGGCGGGUCUCUGGGCCGAUACUGACGCUGAGGAGCGAAAGCAUGGGUAGCGAACAGG